RNA transcript from Alexandromys fortis (reed vole), 2877 nucleotides. It is a transcript of the gene named carbohydrate sulfotransferase 13, with no coding region annotated. The record is from RefSeq and is a predicted model, not a curated record. Lineage: Eukaryota; Metazoa; Chordata; Mammalia; Rodentia; Cricetidae. The transcript has 5 exons.
UCUCGGCUGAGACAACGCACCAGACGACCGUCGCCUGCCACGCGUGGGGCACAGUAUGGGGAGGCGCUGUUGCUGUCGGCGGCGCUUGCCGGUGGUGGCAAGUCUGGGCGCUGCGCUCCUGUUCCUGUGCGCGCUCCUCCUUCUGCGUCCCGGAUUUAAAAACAAAGCCCUGGGCUCCAGCUGGUUUGGAGGAGUGAGGAAGAGUCCCCUACAACUGUUGCACGACCUGGACCAGGGUCAGCGUUCUGUGAUGGCCGAGGUGCACCAGCAGCGGCGCCAGCUGCUACACCGCGCCUGCAGCCGCCACACACGACGCCAGCGCCUGCUGCAGCCGGAGGACCUGAGGCACGUGCUGGUGGACGACGCGCACGGGCUGCUGUACUGCUAUGUGCCCAAGGUGGCCUGCACCAACUGGAAGCGCGUGCUGCUGGCGCUGCGUGGCCGUGGGGACCCUGGCUCCAUCCCUGCGCACGAGGCGCAUGCGCCUGGCCUGCUGCCCUCGCUGGCCGACUUUGCGCCGGCCGAGGUCAACAGAAGGCUUCGCGACUACCUGGCCUUUCUCUUCGUGCGCGAGCCCUUCGAACGCCUGGCUUCGGCCUACCGCAACAAGCUGGCGCGGCCACACAGCGCCGCCUUCCAGCAGCGCUAUGGCACACGCAUCGUGCGCCGCCUACGACCACACGCACAGCCCGAUGCGCUGGCCCGCGGCCACGACGUGCGCUUUGCAGAGUUCCUGGCCUACCUGCUUGACCCGCGCACGCGCCGCCAGGAGCCCUUCAACGAACACUGGGAGCGCGCGCACGCGCUGUGCCACCCGUGCCUAGUGCGCUAUGACGUGGUGGGCAAGUUUGAGACGUUGGCUGAUGACGCGGCCUUUGUGCUGGACCUGGUGGGCGAGCCCGGCCUGCGCUUUCCUGCUCCGCCACGGAGGCCUGAGAAGGACCCUACGCGUGACCAGGCCCGGCGCCUCUUCCAGGACAUCAGUCCCUUCUAUCAGCGCCGCCUCUUUGACCUCUAUAAGAUGGACUUUCUGCUCUUUAACUAUUCCGCCCCCUCCUACCUGCGGCUGCAGUAGGGAUGCUGGGUGUUGAGAGGGCCUGUGACUGAGCCACCAGGAGGUCUGGAAUGAGCCCGUAGUGUGGAUUGGAGAGCCAUUCACAUUCCAUAUUCAGUGGGCCUGCCAAGAUCCUGGACACAGGCCACUGGAUUGGGCACAACUCAGGAACUUGCCUGAUGCCUUCAGAGCAGCCUGCCGGUGAGCAGCCACAGGCCUGCGCAGGACUCUCGCUUCUAUGGAUCUUGGAAGGAACCGCCACCGCUGCUGCUGGCUGUAUGAAUCCUGACCCCAAGACUGCUCUUCUCCCCACUGGAGGAUUGUGGAGAGCCCGGAGCCUGACGAUGAGACCCUGUGGAUUGUUUUUAUUCCGAUAUGGUAUGAUGGACCACACCCUGCUGAAGGGUUGCUGUGAACACCUUCAAAAAAUUACUUCACUCGACUGCUGACUGAGAUGAACCUAGCACACAGGUUAUACCCUGAAAUACCUGAUUAACAGUGCCCCCCCAUACAGCAGGAAGCAGUUUGGAGAGAAAUAACUGCACCCAUGUUCUCAUAUAUUGUUUAUAAAUGUUCUUUUACAUCAUAUGAUAUAGGUAUGAAUAAUUUACAUUGAUAUGGAUUUUGCUUUAGUGAUUUAAAUUUAAGGUCAAUUUUGUUAUAUGUAUAUGUGUUUCUGAUCUUGAUUAAGGUAUUGUGAUUGUGUAGUUCAUUUAAAAAUGUAAUGUACAUAGGUUGUUAAUAGAUAAUCAUAAUAGCCAAGUUUGUAGUCAUGUUAGUUAGAUUUUCUAGAUGUACAUGAUAUAUUUUAGUUAGGCAUUCUUCAUAUUUUUCAAAGAUUAUAGAAUAUGGCAUUUUAAAUGUUUUAAUAACUUAGGGUUUUUCGUGACAAUGAGACACGUCUUCUCCUGGCAGCACCAAUCUACUUUGAGAGGAAGAUGGGCAUCCUAGAGGCUCCUUACGGAGUUUGAUAGCCAUUUGGGCAAGAAACUGCUCUUGCCUGGACUAUUGUAUAAACUGGACACAGAAAACCCACAGAGAGAGGACAACUGAACUUGCCUAAAGGUGAGAUGAUCUUUCGGGGUUCCUGAUUCAUGAAGGAGUCUGCAAGACAUUCUGCAGGACACAACAGAUAGUAACUGAACUGACUUUGAAUUUUCCUGCUUCCUGGAAAUGUCUGCUGGAUACCAUGGGCCUCAAGGCUGAAGAUGGAUGCCCCAACAGUACAGAGGAACUUUGGGUGAUUGUCCAGGCAGCGAGAUGUCUCUGUCAUUUCUCGAGUUUGAAAGUUGCUUAUUUCUUGUUUGCUUAGAUAAUAUUGUAUCUUUCUGGAGUCUUUGGUGGAGUUGAAGAAUAGUUAGUUAUAGUUAUAGUUUUCCUUAGUUAUGAUAAAGAUAAAAUAGAUGUAAAUACUGUAAUUUUUACUUGAUAACUGUUUUGUUAUAUGUAAUUUUGCUAUGUUAAAGUUAAAGCCUUCCUUUUUUUGUUUAAACAGAAAAAGGGGAAAUGAUGGAGGAAGGUCAUUGGUUAAAAAAUAAAGAAACAGCUUGGCCCUCAUAGGUUAAAACAUAGGCGGGAGGAGUAAACAGAACAGAAGAAGAAGUGAGCUCAGAGGCCAUGCUCCCCUCUCCCGGGCAGACGCGAUGAAACUCCGACCCAGGAUGGACAUGGGCUAGAAUCUUCCCAGUAAGUGCACCUAGGGGUGCUACACACAUUAUUAGAAAUGGGCUAGGCCAGGUAUGAGAGUUAGCCGAGAAGAGGCUAGAUAUAAUGGGCCAAGCAGUGUUUAAAAUAAUACAAUUUGUGUGUUGUUAUUUCGGGUA